This is a non-coding RNA of Lachancea thermotolerans CBS 6340, 73 nucleotides long. The record is from Rfam. NCBI's taxonomy places the organism in Eukaryota, Fungi, Ascomycota, Saccharomycetes, Saccharomycetales, Saccharomycetaceae.
GCUUCUGUAGCUCAGUCGGAAGAGCGUCAGUCUCAUAAUCUGAAGGUCGAGAGUUCGAACCUCCCCAGGAGCA